Molecule: long non-coding RNA, 6016 nt
Filed under: Musa acuminata (dwarf banana)
Lineage: Eukaryota; Viridiplantae; Streptophyta; Magnoliopsida; Zingiberales; Musaceae
Description: long non-coding RNA (MACU_LNC001539)
Source: RNAcentral
CAGCUUCACGUCGCCUUACUGUUAGAGAUCAGGAACCUCGCUGCAAAGCUCCCUGUCGUGCACCAACAAAGUCUUCUUUUUAAUUAAAGGAUUCCUGUAGAGACAAUUUACAAGUUAAAUGGCAUUAGGAAGACUUAAACUUCAUUUUCAAAACGACAAGUACAGUAAGUUUUCAUCCAUGUGAAGAUUGCUUUCAUUUAUGGAUCGACAGAUAAGAUGCUACUCAUUCAUUGUACCAAAAUAUAUUCCUGGUCAAUCAAUUACCGACAAAAACACAAAUGCCAAACAAAGUUAUUGAAUAGAUCUAAAAAAUUACCGAUAAACACAAAUGUCAAUCAAUUACCGAUAAGAUCUAAAAUGAAUGCUACUCAUUCAUUUUCAAAACAUACACUGCACAGUGAAGAACACCAAGACAGACGUAAUUUGUAUAGAUCUAAAAAAUUGCCUAACUUCUACAAAAAGUUAUUGAAUAACAUAUAAAAAGUUGGCAUUGUUUGUUUGUGAGAACUUCAAUUAAAUGAAACUGAGUUAGAAUGUUUUCUGUUAAGAGUUAUAAUGUUUUAAUUCAGAAACAUUCUCUAACAGAAAAUUAAGGUUACAUUAAAAAAAUAAGAACUUGUCAUCCUUAUUUCAAAAUAUGUCCAAAUAUUCUUAAUUUUCAUUCAAGAUUACUGAAGAACUCUUAAAUAAAAUAUUUUAUAAAACUAAUAAAUAUUAUCAGAUUAAUAAUUAGUUUUUUUUAUGAAAAUUUUAAUUAAUUAAGAUUGAAUUAUAGUGUUUUUUAAUAGACUUACAAUUCAAUAACGAAAAACACUAUAUGCACACAUGAAACCCUAUAACCCUACAUACAUAAUUAAACUAAAAACAAUGUAAUCCAUUUGACUGGAUUGAUCUAUCUGGGUUUUGGUGAACAGCUCAAAAAUUAGAAUAGUCAACUGUCAAUUAGGAUAUUUUUGUUAUAUUAAAAAGUAAGGUUUUCCUUUUAAACAUUUUGAAAAUUAGGAGUGCUAUCCAGAAAAAAUCCAAAACUUAAAAAGUUCUUCUUAUUUAAUUGAUAUGCAUAUUUGCACAACUUCUAUGAUUCAAUCCACAGAGAGAACAAGAACCAUGUGGGUGGGUGCACACACAUUCAGUUUCAUGCCCAUCUCUAACUCUUAUAACUAGGCUUCCAGAUUUCCCAUGCCACAGUAAGGUACUUAAAAAAAGUAAUGGCAUAUCCCAUCAAGCCAUGCCUUUGUUGGCACAUUUUUAGGACGUGCAUAUUAAAUAAUGACUCCAAGUGUUGUUGUCAUCAAUUUCACACAAUCGCAUUUUAUUAUAAACAGCGGCAUGGCAGCAUACCUAAAAAUUCACCAAUCCCAACUUGAUGACAACCACAUAAACAUGCAGACAUAGGACCACUAAUACCUAUAUGGAUGAGUUCAAAGUUUUCACAUGCAUUUAGACAAUGCAGGUACAAGAACAUCAAAUGCAAAAUCACAUGCACACACCUACAUAUAUUUCAUAUGCUGAUGUUAACAAAUUGUUUAUGACUAUUUCCACUCGUCAUUUAAUGCUUUUUUUUCUUAAGAAAUAUGCUGCAGUAAAGUUCCUUUUGUAAAAGUUCCAUUACCAUUUUAACUAAUUCCAUUCCUCUUACUCCUAAGUAUAUUUCCUAUAUGAUGUUACAUGAUCCAACUCUUCCAUGUUUUACAAUAAAUUGUUGUCGAUGGUCACUCACAUUUCCUAGUUUGAAAACACAUUUAACUUCAUCUGCCUAACUCGAAGAUAGGCAAAUGCUGUCAUGUCCAGACGCCAGCCAAGAAAACACACUGUUUCUUACUGGUAAGAGUGACUAUAUGAAUAUUACCAAAUAAAUACAGUCCUGAGCUUGUGUAAAUCCCAUUAAGUACAGUCUGUUCAUGACUUAUAGAAGGGAAAUCAAGAUAUAGGAUCACGAGAAAAUAAAAAGUUUCUUAAAACUAAAUUAGGAAAAUCCAGAAUUAUUGUGGUCAGCCCAUGGAUCAUGCACCUUUAUGGAAAAUAAAAAGUUCAUUGGCAUGCAUACCUAACAUAUAAAAUGUUCAUCUGCAAUUUUGAGCUCACUUAGGGCAUCUCUCCAGCAAAACCAACUUCGUAUGCUUGACAGUUGAAAUGAACAGAGCUUUCAUUGCCAACCACUUUUUCAUAUUAUAAAACAAAAACCUGCAAUGUUGCAAUUAUUUGGAGUCAGCAAAUAUAUUUUCAUUAAAAAAAUCCAAAAAUCAACAUGAACCCUUCUUUAAGAGGCCUAAUGUGCUAAAAUGCAGUUUAAACUUGCAGAAUGAAUGCAAAACAUCAUUGUCCUAAAAUUCAUCAGGUCAGGUUCAUGAUUUUGUUUGUUUGAAAGGUGAAGCACCACCUUCUUGUUAGGGUGGACAAGGGGGGCUAGACAUUUCAGACAAACAAGUACUGUAUUGAAAACUAGGAGUAGAUUUGCAAAAAGCAUCUAAAUUGAAGGAAUGCGCAUCCAAUUUCGCUUAAUGUUUCUUGAGCCUAUCUUCUCCUCACACCACUAAUUCUAAUCAACUCAUCUAAUCUGACCCAAGUAUCCAUUGGUCAUGAAAGAAUUCAUGAACAGAAAAUUGGACUUCACAUAAAAGACUAAUUGUUGUUAAUAUCUAUCUUGGGAAGGGGAAGAAACUGUCACUUUUUUGUGUGUGGGAUCUUUUAGCAGCUCAUCAUCUAGUACAUUGAGAAUAUUAGCAAUCUAGUUUCACAAAGACAUGAAGUGACUUAGAAAAAGUAGAGUAGAAGUGUCGAACAUUACAAAAAGAAGUGGAACAUUACUAUAAGCAGUUGGAUCAAACCCAUCAAAUACUUCUUGAUUGCUGCAACAAAUUAUAUGUGUAAUUGGUUCUGCAAUGCUGAAAGCCAAACAGGCUAUUAGCAUGCAUAUAUGUUAUUUUCAUGUCAUUUUGACCUGGUAGAACUUUAUAUGGUACUAUAACUAAUUUUUAGUUGGUUCUCUUUAAUCCUGUUAACACUUUUUUCCACAUUCGAUUCUUUCUCAAACAUCAUCAAUACAUAUCCCUAUCAGAUGAAAAAGAGAGAAAGUUGCCUUAAGCCAGACAACCAACAUUGUCUUGAGCAUGAAUCUUAACCAUUUCAAUGGCGAAAAAAAGAUUCUUAUAACUGAAUCCAAAUAGUUGGGACAUUACCACUCGUAAAAAGUUAUUUAAAUAGCACAGUAAAUUAGCCUAAAUUACUGAAUUAAUCUUCUGCAAUAAGGCAUGCAUUCUCCUAAUUGCUCCUUACGUUCAUUCUGAAAUUGCCCAUCUCAACAUUACCUAGCCCUCUUAAUAUUAAAAUAUGUCCUUACUGCUAUAAUGCCUCUAUAAUAAUCAACCUCAAAUGUUGAUUAACUCUUUUUUCACACAUCUCACAUCCAUUCUGAAAUUUAUGGUACGCACAAGUCUCAGCAUUGUCUAACCCUCAAUAUCAAAAUUCAUUCUUACUGUUAUAAGAAUUCUAUGGUCACCAACUUCAAAUGUCAAUUAACUGUGUCCACACUUAUCCUAGAUUCAGUGCUCCUGUACUCAAGAAAAUGUGACAACUUAUUCUCACCAAGCCUCCAUACCUAAGCUCAAAAGCAAAAUUUCAGCAUUAAAAGACCAUCUAGGCAAUGUUAUCAAGCACACAUCCUAAAUCAAUUUUGAGCCUUGCCUCAAAAAAGAGUCCAAUGAUUCAAUGAACCAUACCUUAGGCAUGCACCUAAUGAAAUCUUUCAAAAGGUGAACCUCUCUAACACUUAGUUCCAACAUAAUUUAAUUCUACCACUUAAAUGUGACAAUAUUUAAUUCUACCAUUAUUGCUCACUACGACCACUAUGCAAUACAAAAGUUGGUAUUAAUUUAUUUGUGAACAGAGUAAAUCCUCGGUUCCUUGCAAAGGAUAGAAAAACCAACCAGAGAAGUUUUUCCUUUAUUAAAAGAAAAAAAAAGAAUCAAAUUUAACACUUGAUUGUGCAGAUAUUGACAAAUGGCAAUUACAUCAAUUCUAGAAUUAUUUUGGUUUCAAAUUUAUUUUUCAGAAGUAAUGACCCCUUGCUUCAAUAAGGUGCAUGCCUGGCUUCAUGUCUUAUGCCUAAGAGGCUAAGACCCAAUAGUUCUUGGCACCACAAGGCACCUUGAGCCUUCAAAAACUCACGUCUGACCAGCAACUGACCUUCUACAACAUGACUAUAAAAGCUUUCCAUUUCUCAAGCUAGAGAAACUAAUCAGAAAGUAAAUUAAAUAUUUCACAUUUUUUUCGAUUAUUAAAAGAUUAUAUAAUAUGGACACCUAUAUUGUCAAUAGUAGUUUGGCUUAAACAAUGAGUACCUGGAAAAUGUCAGGACUGCUACAACCAGGGACCAUGGAACACAAAAAAUCAUGAUUCCAGUAAUUAGGUAGGGCCAUCAACAACUAUAUGAUUAAUUACAGCAGUUAAGGUUAAGGAUUAUCUUCUGUAAUAGGUCUACAUGCUUGCUUUUGCUAGCAAGCUUAGCAUGACUAGUUCAAUCUAUUGAUCAUCUUGAGGUGCUUUCAUUUAAAAUGCACACAUCUUACAACCAUAAUUUAGCUAACUCCUCAAUAUCAGAGAGCAAUUACAGUUGAAGUUUUAGCAUGACAAACACACAACAAAAACUGUGCAUAUAUGCACAGAUUAGCAACAUAUUCAUCAUCCACAUGGUAGAGGCAUAACGAACAUCACUUCUUCCAUAGGCAUUAGUUGUCAAUGUUUCCCAGAAUAAUGUUUUAUGUCUGUCUAUACCAUAUUAGUUUAUAGUGAGUUAACAUGUGCACAUCCACAAAGGAUGUCACUAUUGUUUUGCAGCAUAUUCUUGGGAAAUAUUAGCUCAAUCUUUGAACUACAUUAGACUUGGAAUAAUAUUGUGCUGCGUUUAUUUUGAUUUUGUCCGAAAUUAAUAUAUCGUUUUCACAAGAAGAAAAGAAAAAAAAUCCCAAGAAUUAUGGCUAAAUUGUUUCUUAUCGGUAAGAAUAUUAGAAUUGGAGUUUGAGCAACGCCCUCCAGUUUCUCAACCAUUCAUUACCAAGUUGUUUGAUGUUGUUGUCAAGCGUUUUAGGGUUAAAGUUUGAGCAACCAACGCAUUUUCUUGAUCAAUUAGAACGGUGGGAAAUGAAAACAUUAAAGAUCGACAGGAAAGAAAGUAGGGUUUUCCGGCGCUGGACUGAGAGACGAGUGCAUCGAGGCAAAAGAAAAGACCAAGAAUUAUAACCAAAUUGUGUGUUUGUUGUUGUUGCUAAACGUAUUAAGGUUCGACGUUGGGCAACUAAUAUACUUUCUUGAAAGAUCAGAAUUGUGGGAGAUGAAAAGAUUAGAGAUCGACGGGAAAGAAAGUAGGGUUCUCCGGCGGUGGACUCAAGAGAGUGAAUCAAGGAAAAAGAAAAGAUCAAGAAUCAUGUAUAAAUUGUUUCUUGUUGUCGUUAAUCACAUUAGACUUAGGGUUUGGGCAACGGCCAUCGUUUCUUGGUCAAAACAGAACCAUAGGAGAAGACCCGAUUACAGAUCAACGGUGAAAAGAAAUAGGGUUUCGAAGAAGUGAUCGAGGAGGAGGCUUACACGAAGGGCGGCUGGAUGAGAGAGGCAGUGCCAUGGACGACGCGGUCAAUUUCGAAGACCUUCUCCUCCACCUUGAGAUGCUCCAGCUAUGUCAUGGUGAGCCUUGUCUGCCGUCGGAAGAAGAGGAGGCGACAGUAUCUGGGUGAGGAGGAGAAGAAGGAAAACGGAUGGAAGAAGCCUCCAUAAAGAUGGAACCACCACCGCUUCUCGGAAGGCCGGAGGAAUCGCCGGCAGUUUUGCCCCAUCAUCUCCUUUCUUGCCCGCCCUCUCGUGCCUCGUGGCCCGUCCACGGGCAAUGAGAAUGUAUUUAAGAGAUGCAAACCCAAAACCCGAUAAGAGAUACAAAUCCAAAACCCGAUAUCGGAUCCCUAAUGUAUUGGAUUCGGAUUCAAGUUGCUCACUUGUACCCGACUUGUUCCCACCGCAAGCCGAU